UUGUAGCUCAGUGAUAGAGCAUGUGUUUAGCCUGCACAAAGCCCUAGGUUCGAUCCCCAGCAA
RNAcentral lists this transfer RNA (63 nucleotides) under Ictidomys tridecemlineatus (thirteen-lined ground squirrel). RNAcentral describes it as "Spermophilus tridecemlineatus (thirteen-lined ground squirrel) tRNA". It matches the Rfam family "tRNA", at positions 5 to 66 of the family's 71-position model. Rfam says of the family: Transfer RNA (tRNA) molecules are approximately 80 nucleotides in length. Their secondary structure includes four short double-helical elements and three loops (D, anti-codon, and T loops). Further hydrogen bonds mediate the characteristic L-shaped molecular structure. tRNAs have two regions of fundamental functional importance: the anti-codon, which is responsible for specific mRNA codon recognition, and the 3' end, to which the tRNAs corresponding amino acid is attached (by aminoacyl-tRNA synthetases). tRNAs cope with the degeneracy of the genetic code in two manners: having more than one tRNA (with a specific anti-codon) for a particular amino acid; and 'wobble' base-pairing, i.e. permitting non-standard base-pairing at the 3rd anti-codon position. The record is from Rfam by way of RNAcentral. Lineage: Eukaryota; Metazoa; Chordata; Mammalia; Rodentia; Sciuridae.